CCUACGGGAGGCAGCAGUGGGGAAUUUUGGACAAUGGGCGAAAGCCUGAUCCAGCAAUGCCGCGUGAGUGAAGAAGGCCUUCGGGUUGUAAAGCUCUUUUGUCAGGGAAGAAACGGUGAGAGCUAAUAUCUCUUGCUAAUGACGGUACCUGAAGAAUAAGCACCGGCUAACUACGUGCCAGCAGCCGCGGUAAUACGUAGGGUGCAAGCGUUAAUCGGAAUUACUGGGCGUAAAGCGUGCGCAGGCGGUUUUGUAAGUCUGAUGUGAAAUCCCCGGGCUCAACCUGGGAAUUGCAUUGGAGACUGCAAGGCUAGAAUCUGGCAGAGGGGGGUAGAAUUCCACGUGUAGCAGUGAAAUGCGUAGAUAUGUGGAGGAACACCGAUGGCGAAGGCAGCCCCCUGGGUCAAGAUUGACGCUCAUGCACGAAAGCGUGGGGAGCAAACAGGAUUAGAUACCCUGGUAGUCCACGCCCUAAACGAUGUCUACUAGUUGUCGGGUCUUAAUUGACUUGGUAACGCAGCUAACGCGUGAAGUAGACCGCCUGGGGAGUACGGUCGCAAGNUUAAAACCGUUAAGGAAUUGACGG
Molecule: ribosomal RNA, 586 nt
Filed under: uncultured bacterium
Lineage: Bacteria
Description: bacterial SSU rRNA
Rfam family: Bacterial small subunit ribosomal RNA
Source: RNAcentral